This 406-nucleotide ribosomal RNA is filed under the name uncultured bacterium. RNAcentral describes it as "bacterial SSU rRNA". It matches the Rfam family "Bacterial small subunit ribosomal RNA", at positions 370 to 772 of the family's 1533-position model. The record is from RNAcentral.
AAUGGGCGCAAGCCUGAACCAGCCAUCCCGCGUGCAGGAAGACGGCGCUAUGCGUUGUAAACUGCUUUUCCAGGGGGAGAAACUUGCGCACGUGUUGCGCAAUUGACGGUACCCUGGGAAUAAGCAUCGGCUAACUCCGUGCCAGCAGCCGCGGUAAUACGGAGGAUGCAAGCGUUAUCCGGAUUCAUUGGGUUUAAAGGGUGCGUAGGCGGACUAUUAAGUCAGUGGUGAAAUCCUGCAGCUUAACUGCAGAACUGCCAUUGAUACUGAUAGCCUUGAGUUUGGUUAAGGUAGGCGGAAUGUGUAAUGUAGCGGUGAAAUGCUUAGAUAUUACACAGAACACCAAUUGCGUAGGCAGCUUACUGAGCCGACACUGACGCUGAGGCACGAAAGCGUGGGGAUCGAA